GUGGGGAAUAUUGCACAAUGGGCGAAAGCCUGAUGCAGCAACGCCGCGUGAGUGAUGAAGGUCUUCGGAUUGUAAAGCUCUGUCUUUUGGGACGAUAAUGACGGUACCAAAGGAGGAAGCCACGGCUAACUACGUGCCAGCAGCCGCGGUAAUACGUAGGUGGCGAGCGUUGGUCCGGAUUUACUGGGCGUAAAGGGUGCGUAGGCGGAUGUUUAAGUGGAGAUGUGAAAUAC
This 233-nucleotide ribosomal RNA is filed under the name uncultured bacterium. Its description in RNAcentral is "partial 16S ribosomal RNA". It matches the Rfam family "Bacterial small subunit ribosomal RNA", at positions 354 to 603 of the family's 1533-position model. The record is from RNAcentral.